Molecule: long non-coding RNA, 4995 nt
Organism: Bos indicus x Bos taurus (hybrid cattle)
Lineage: Eukaryota; Metazoa; Chordata; Mammalia; Artiodactyla; Bovidae
Product: pleckstrin and Sec7 domain containing 4
Source: Ensembl
AUGGGCGACGACAGACUCUGUGGCCACCCCAGACCCGUGGAAACCCUCGACAUCUGUUUGGGAGACAACCUGCAACCCCACUCGGAAGCCCACCUAGGGGAGACCUGUAGCCACCCUGAGCCUCUCGAACCUCACGGGGAGCAGACGUGGGCCUCUGACCCUCCUGAUGCUGUGAGGCCUGAUGUUUGUCCCCAGGGCUCCAGCCCAGAGCCCAUGGACAACCAGCCUCUGGGGAGCCCAGGGCAGAGCCAGAGCACGUCCACGCAGGUGGUGUUCUGGGCAGGGAUCCUGCAGGCCCAGAUGUGCGUGCUAGACCUGGAGGAGGAGCUGGAGAAGACAGAAGGGCUCAGAGCUGAGUUGAGAUGCUGCAUUCCCACGGCCCCUGCCGACCUCCCCACUUUUCCCUCCAGCCCAGUUGGCCCCCGGAACUCGGGCCUCCUCCCCAGCCCACCCCCGGAUGCAAAUGAGGCCUCGGAGGACGAUAGCAGUGGGCCAGAAGGGGAGCCCCAGAAGCCAGCAUGGCCGAGGGAGGGCACGCUGGACUUGUCUCCUGAGUGGAGUGCCGAGGAGGAAAGCAUCUUCUUUGACAACCCGCUUUUCCUGGAGAGCCCUUGCUCGGACACUAGUGCAUCUGAAACGCACUUUUCCUGGGGCUUCUCGGACUCCUAUGUAGAUGUGAGGACUGGGUCCCAGAGCCCACAGACCCUGGAGCCUCCACCCUCAGAAGGCAGAGUGCCCUGGGAGCUGGGCGGUGAGCCGGAUUUGGGGGAGAGCACAGCAGAGUCCAGCGGGCACACCACCCCUCCAUUCCCUGUGCCCACCUACAGGCCACACUCUUUCUCCUGGGUCAUGGUGGACACCCCCGAGGGGGCUCCCGCAGCACCUUCCAACAGCCUUGACCCUGCCUUGCCCGCAGCAUCCUGUGUGGACAAAACACUGAGCUGGGAGACAGAACAUGUGGAAUAUAACGGCAGCCCCGCCACACAUCCAGUGCAACCUUGGGCUGUUCCCUGGCUCUGCCAGGCCCCUUGGCCCGCAGCCUACCCCUCACCCCAUGCCAGCUUCAUUCCAUGCUCUUUCUCAGGUGACAAGGAUACAGAGUGUGUCCAGGAGUCUGCUCCCUGCACCGUGACCCCUGGCCACCCCUGGGGGAGCCCAGCCUCUUCGCCGGAGCCCAGCAGCCCUGAGUCUGGGGUCAGAGGCCCCAACUCCCUGCCCAGCCCCGUCUCCUCCCGGGAAGGCAGCCUGCGGCUGCAGGGCCACCCCCCAGGCAGUGUUCUUCCCGAGUGGACACUAGAUGCUCCAAGCCCUUCAUUCCUGGAGACAGAUGGGGCAGAGCCAGGUUCCCUGGAAAAAGAGGAGGCAGGAGAGGCCCCAACCCAAGGGAAGGAAGUAAAGUUAAGCCCCGCCAGGACUGCGGAGGCCGGAGCCAGCCAGCCUGACGCUUGCCUGACUUCUGCAAAAACGCUUCCUGGGAGCCCUAUGCCCCAAGUGCAACCCCCAGAGGAAGGCCAGAGGCUCCCGGCUGGAGACAAGCUGGCGAAUGGCGUCAGGACUGACAAGGUGGCCUGGAACUUGGCCUCUCGCCUCUAUCACCUGGAGGGCUUCCGGAAGUCUGAAGUGGCUGCCUACCUGAGGAAGAACAAUGACUUUAGCAGGGCCGUGGCUGAGGCGUACCUGUCCUUCUUCCAGUUCGGAGGCCAGAGCCUGGACCGUGCACUCCGGGGCUUCCUCCAGGCCCUGGUGCUCAGUGGGGAGACCCAGGAACGAGAGCGGAUCCUCUACCAGUUCUCCAAGCGCUUCCAUCACUGCAACCCCGGGCUUUUCUCCUCAGUAGAUUGCGUGCACACCUUGACCUGCGCCAUCAUGCUCCUUAACACGGACCUGCAUGGACAGAACAUUGGGAAGAGCAUGAGCUGCCAGGAAUUCAUAACCAACCUGAAUGGCCUGCGGGACGGCGGGAACUUCCCCAAAGAACUGCUCAAGGCCCUCUACUGGUCUAUCCGAAGUGAGAAGCUCGAGUGGGCCGUGGAUGAAGAAGACACAGCCAGGCCCGAGAAGGCCCAGCCGUCUCCCCCAGCUGGCAAGAUGAGCAACCCUUUCCUCCAGCUGGCCCAGGACCCCACGGUGCCCACCUACAAGCAGGGCUUCCUGGCCCGGAAGAUGCACCAGGAUGCGGAUGGCAAGAAGACGCCAUGGGGUAAGCGUGGCUGGAAGAUGCUCCACACCUUACUUCGAGGGAUGGUCCUCUACUUCCUGAAGGGAGAGGACCACGCCCUUGAUGGGGAGAGUUUGGUGGGGCAGAUGGUGGAUGAGCCGGUGGGGGUGCACCACUCACUGGCCACCCCUGCCACCCACUACACCAAGAAGCCACAUGUCUUCCAGCUGCGCACGGCCGACUGGCGCCUCUACCUCUUCCAGGCACCCACUGCCCAGGAGAUGACUUCCUGGAUCGCGCGCAUCAAUCUAGCUGCCGCCACGCACUCAGCUCCGCCUUUCCCUGCCGCGGUGGGCUCCCAGCGCAAAUUCGUCCGUCCCAUCCUGCCCGUGGGCCCAACCCAGGGCUCCCUGGAGGAGCAGCAUCGAUCCCACGAGAACUGCCUGGACGCUGCCUCUGACGACCUGCUGGAUCUGCAGAGGAACUUACCCGAGCGGCGAGGCCGCAGCCGCGAGCUGGAAGACUACCGCUUGCGGAAGGAGUACCUGGAGUACGAGAAAACCCGCUAUGAGACCUACCUACAGCUGCUUGUGGCCCGUCUACACUGCCCGUCGGAAGACCUGGACCUGUGGGAGGAGCAGCUGGGGAGGGAGGCUGGAGGCCUGCAGGAGCCCAAGCCCAGCCUGAAGAAGUCCCACUCCAGCCCGUCGCUGCACCAGGAUGAGGCCCCCACCACGGCCAAGGUCAAGCGCAACAUCUCAGAGCGCAGAACCUACCGGAAGAUCAUCCCCAAACGGAACCGCAAUCAACUGUGAAACCAGGGUCACCUCACCAACUACCCACCGCGGCCUGGGCCUGCGGUGGAUUUGGGAUGAAACCCUAGGAAUAGCCUUAUAUCAUCGGGUCCGUGCUGAGGAUGGGGCCCUGCCUCUUCCCUGUGGAAGGAUACGCUAGUGUGGUCCCCCCUUCCUUCCCUCACUCACCACACUGGAGUUCUCCUGAUACUGUUGCCCCCACCCCGGCUGCUCCCAAGAGAGGACAGAGGUCAAAGACUUGACUCAGCUCCCACAGUUCAUCCCAUUCUACCCUCCAUCCCUCCAGAAGCCACAGAGGACACCUUUCCUGGACCUGGGGAGUUGCUCGGCUCUCUGUCUUUGAGUCAGAGGCCCUGUGAGCUCCCCCAUCCUCAGGGACAGAGACCAGGGCCGUAGAGACCUUGGCACAGACAGGUUAGGGAAGCUGCAGCACUGGGAGCGGUCUUGCUCUGGAAAUCAGGUGACUUGCUGGAAGAGGUCCUGGGAGACCCCAGAUGGGCCCUGUCCACUGCGGGGAACAGCCUUCUGGGCAGGACCAGAGACUCGGCAAGUUCAAGGGCUCAGUGAGGCUGGCUCUGGGGCCCCCUGCCUUUGUUUGGUCUUCCCUACAUCCUGCACGUAUAGGGGGCAGAUGAGAGAGGCCUUGCCUCCCAUGGCCAAUGGCUGAUCGUCAGAGUGGAACCAACGGUGGUCAGCGAGGGCUGUAAGGGGAGAGGGUGCCCAGAGUUCAGUAGAGAGCCCUGUAACAAGGGCCUUUGCCACCCCAGAGCAGGGAAGGAGGUGCUCCAGGUUUGGGGAGGAUAAGGGUAAGAGGUGGUGACGCAUGCCGUGUCCCCUGGGGGCUCUGGAGAGUUGUGAGGGGCCUUGAAGGCCUGGCUCCCUCCCCACAAACCCCUCCCCUGGAACCUCCAGGACUCACUCAGGGACCCCUUCCCUCCCUCAGCCUGCUCCCAGGGGCCCUUUCCACCCUCCCUGGGAAGCCCCCUUGUGCUCCCUUUGGCCGCAUCCCAGCUGGGCUGUUCUCCGGACACUUGAGGACCCGAGGCUCUGCCUGUGGGAAGGAGGCCGGGCCGCCAAGCAGCCACCAUUGUCUCUGUUCAGCCAAGUGUGAGAGCCGGCUGCCUGCCAAAAGGGGCCUCUCGCCACCCGCCUGCUGGCUGACGCAUGCACGGCCUCUCCAGCCUUCCUGCCGCCCUGCCCUCCUCUUCGUGCCUGUAACCAACACGGGGGCCUGCAACUCCACCAGGUGGGGCUGGCACUUGAGGGUCACCAACAAGUGUCUGUCCAUGGCUGGGCCACGCACCCAGUGGGUACACAAUAAAUACAGGCCAGUAAAGAAGGAGGUGUGUGCCAGUGAGGGGGUUGGGAGGGGCAGGCAGCUGUGGGCAGCUGAGGCCACCGUCUGGCACCUGCCUGAGGGUGGCAGGCUGGGUUUCCUUUGCCGUGUGUGUGCAUGUGCGUGUCUGUGUGUGUGGGUCUGUGUGUGCAUGUAUGUAUCUGUGUGCGUGUGCAUGUCUGUGAAUGUGUAGCAUGCUAAUCGUGUGCAGGAGUCACAUAGGCUGUCACAGCGGGAGGGGACCUCAGAAUCAUUGAUUCAUCCACUCAUGGGUUCAUUCUUUCACUUCUCCAAUAAUAUUAAGUACCUUUAUGGGCCAGUACUGUGAGAUUCAGGCAUGAAUCAAGCAUGUCCCUGGCCUCUAGGAGAGGACCAUCCUGUUCUCUGGCGCCCAACUGACAGUAUAGAGUGGCACUGGAGACAUUUGCAUCCUACGCCCAGGAAUCUGGAUCCAGUAGGUCUGGGUCAGAGGCACCAACGGGAGUUUUUAAGGCUCCAUGGGCCACUCUGAUGGGCAGAGGCCAAUUGUCUCAUUUGAUUGGGGUGGUAUACUAGCGCCGUGCGGACGUGACUUGGCCCACAAAUGAUGCUUACAGGCUGAACCGCUGUGAGUGGGUUAUUUGACCUCACUGACCUGUAUCCUUAUUUCCAAAACCAGAAUAAAAGGCAGAGGUUUGUUUGCAUGC